CGGGUGAGUAACGCGUGGAUAAUCUGCCCUUAAGAUGGGGAUAACGGCUGGAAACGGUCGCUAAUACCGAAUACGCUCCCGAUUUUAUCAUUGGGGGGAAAGAUGGCCUCUGCUUGCAAGCUAUCGCUUAAGGAUGAGUCCGCGUCCCAUUAGCUAGUUGGCGGGGUAACGGCCCACCAAGGCAACGAUGGGUAGCCGGUCUGAGAGGAUGACCGGCCACACUGGAACUGGAACACGGUCCAG
This 243-nucleotide ribosomal RNA is filed under the name uncultured bacterium. RNAcentral's name for it is "partial 16S ribosomal RNA". It matches the Rfam family "Bacterial small subunit ribosomal RNA", at positions 103 to 334 of the family's 1533-position model. The record is from RNAcentral.